RNAcentral lists this ribosomal RNA (1969 nucleotides) under human gut metagenome. RNAcentral describes it as "bacterial LSU rRNA". It matches the Rfam family "Bacterial large subunit ribosomal RNA", at positions 3 to 2007 of the family's 2925-position model. The record is from RNAcentral.
UCAAGCUAAUAAGAGCAUAAGGCGGAUGCCUUGGCAACAGGAGCCGAAGAAGGACGUGACAAGCUGCGAUAAGCUGCGGGGAGGUGCAAAUAACCUUUGAUCCGCAGAUGUCCGAAUGGGGGAACCCACAUACAGUAAUGUGUAUGUACCGUAUGGUGAAUAAAUAGCCAUACAGGAGGUGACCCGGUGAACUGAAACAUCUAAGUAGCCGGAGGAAGAGAAAGAAACAUCGAUCCCCUGAGUAGCGGCGAGCGAAAGGGGAAGAGCCCAAACCAUGCUACGGCAUGGGGUUGUGGACCAUCACAAGUCACAGAUCAUCAUAACCGAAUACAACUGGAAAGUUGAACCGCAGAAGGUAAAGGUCCUGUAGGUGAAAUGAUGAGACGGACGGAUGGCACCAGAGUAGCACCGGACACGUGAAACCCGGUGUGAAGCAGGGAGGACCGCCUCCCAAGGCUAAAUACUACCUGUUGACCGAUAGAGAACAGUACCGUGAGGGAAAGGUGAAAAGAACCCCGGGAGGGGAGUGAAACAGAACCUGAAACCUUAUGCUUACAAGCAGAGGGAGCGCAAGUGACCUCGUACUUUUUGUAGAACGGGCCAACGAGUUGCGGUAUAUGGCAAGGUUAAGGUGUUAAGCACCGGAGCCGUAGCGAAAGCGAGUCUUAAAAGGGCCAGAGUCGUAUGCUGCAGACCCGAAACCGGGUGACCUAUCCAUGUGCAGGUUGAAGCGGGAGUAAAAUCUCGUGGAGGACCGAACCCAUAUCCGUUGAAAAGGGUUGGGAUGACGUGUGGAUAGCGGUGAAAUUCCAAUCGAACUCGGAGAUAGCUGGUUCUCCUCGAAAUAGCUUUAGGGCUAGCCUCGGAAUGAGAUACGCGGAGGUAGAGCACUGAAUAUCCUAGGGGCCUUCACCGGCUACCGAAGAUUAUCAAACUCCGAAUGCCGCAGUAUCAUGUCCGGGAGUCAGACUAUGUGAGAUAAGUUUCAUAGUCGAAAGGGAAACAGCCCAGACCAACAGCUAAGGUCCCAAAGUUCAGGUUAAGUGGAAAAGGAUGUGGAGCUGCAUAGACAACUAGGACGUUGGCUUAGAAGCAGCCACUCAUUUAAAGAGUGCGUAAUAGCUCACUAGUCGAGUGACUCUGCGCCGAAGAUAAACGGGGCUGAAACCUGACACCGAAGCUUUGGAUACAUUAUGUAUGGUAGAGGAGCAUCGUAUACGGGCAGAAGCGUGACCGUAAGGGAGCGUGGACUGUAUACGAGAGAGAAUGUUGGCAUGAGUAGCGAGAGGCAGGUGAGAAUCCUGCCCGCCGAAAAUCUGAGGAUUCCUGAGGAAGGUUCGUCCGCUCAGGGUAAGUCGGGACCUAAGCCGAGAACGAAAGUUGUAGGCGAUGGACAACAGGUUGAGAUUCCUGUACCACCGAGGAUCAUUUGAAUGAAGUGGGGACGCAGGAGGAUAGGCUGAGCGCGCCGUUGGUGGAGCGCGUCCAAGCACGGAGGGAGUUGACCAGGCAAAUCCGGUCAGCGAGUUCCUGACGUGUGAUGGGGAGGGAAAACAAGUACCGAAGCAGCUGAUUUCACACUGCCAAGAAAAGCCGCUGGUGAGAUCCAAGGUGCCCGUACCGCAAACCGACACAGGUAGAUGAGGAGAGAAUCCUAAGGCGAGCGAGAGAACUAUUGUUAAGGAACUCGGCAAAAUGACCCCGUAACUUAGGGAGAAGGGGUGCUGCAGAAAUGCAGCCGCAGUGAAGAGGCCCAGGCGACUGUUUACCAAAAACACAGGUCUCUGCGAAAGCGAAAGCUGAAGUAUAGGGGCUGACGCCUGCCCGGUGCUGGAAGGUUAAGGGGAAGUGUCAGGGCGACCGAAGCACAGAACUUAAGCCCCAGUAAACGGCGGCCGUAACUAUAACGGUCCUAAGGUAGCGAAAUUCCUUGUCGGGUAAGUUCCGACCCGCACGAAAGGCGUAACGA